GGACUACCGGGGUAUCUAAUCCUGUUUGCUCCCCACGCUGUCGCGCAUCAGUGUCAGUAACUGCCCAGCAGGCCGCCUUCGCCACCGGUCUUCCUCCGGAUCUCUACGCAUUCCACCGCUACACCCGGAAUUCCGCCUGCCCCUACAGUACUCCAGCCUGACAGUCGGCACGGCCGAUCCGGGGUUGAGCCCCGGACUUUCACCACACCCUUAUCAGGCCACCUACGCGCCCUUUACGCCCAGUGAUUCCGGACAACGCUCGCACCCCCCGUAUUACCGCGGCUGCUGGCAC
This 292-nucleotide ribosomal RNA is filed under the name uncultured bacterium. RNAcentral describes it as "partial 16S ribosomal RNA". The record is from RNAcentral.